This 468-nucleotide ribosomal RNA is filed under the name uncultured bacterium. Its description in RNAcentral is "partial 16S ribosomal RNA". It matches the Rfam family "Bacterial small subunit ribosomal RNA", at positions 28 to 507 of the family's 1533-position model. The record is from RNAcentral.
GACGAACGCUGGCGGCGUGCUUAACACAUGCAAGUCGAACGGAAAGGCCGUGCGUUCGUGGUGUGCUCGAGUGGCGAACGGGUGAGUAACACGUGAAUAACCUGACCUUCACUUUGGGAUAACUUCAGGAAACUGGGGCUAAUCCCAGAUAGGAGCUCCUGCUGCAUUGUGAGCGUUGGAACGUUUGGGCUGUUGUGGCUGGACUCGCGGAUUAUCGGCUUGUUGGUGGGGGAGUCGCUGACCAAGGAUUUGACGGGUAGGCCGCCUGGGAGGGUGACCGGCCACAAUGGUACUAAGAGACGGCGCAGACUCGUACAGUAGGCAGCAGUGGGGAGUAUUGCACAAUGGGCGGAAGUCUGAUGAGACAACGCCGCGUGCGUAAUGACGUCCUUCGGGGUGAGAAACGCAUUCGCCUAUUACGCAGCUGUUGUGACGGUAAUGGAUAAAGAAGCACCGGCUAACUACGUG